UACAGAGGGUGCAAGCGUUUAAUCGGAAUUACUGGGCGUAAAGCGUGCGUAGUCGGUUAUCUAAGUCGGGUGUGAAAUCCCCGGGCUCAACCUGGGAAUUGCAUUCGAUACUGGAUAGCUAGAGUUCGGCAGAGGGAAGCGGAAUUUCCGGUGUAGCGGUGAAAUGCGUAGAUAUCGGAAGGAACAUCAGUGGCGAAAGCGGCUUCCUGGACCAGAACUGACGAUCAGGCACGGAAAGCGUGG
RNAcentral lists this ribosomal RNA (243 nucleotides) under uncultured bacterium. Its description in RNAcentral is "partial 16S ribosomal RNA". It matches the Rfam family "Bacterial small subunit ribosomal RNA", at positions 524 to 764 of the family's 1533-position model. The record is from RNAcentral.